RNAcentral lists this RNase P RNA (336 nucleotides) under marine eukaryotic metagenome. RNAcentral's name for it is "Bacterial RNase P class A". It matches the Rfam family "Bacterial RNase P class A". Rfam says of the family: Ribonuclease P (RNase P) is a ubiquitous endoribonuclease, found in archaea, bacteria and eukarya as well as chloroplasts and mitochondria. The record is from RNAcentral.
CCGGGCAGUCGCUGGUUUUCGCAAGGAAGCUGGAGGAAAGUCCGGACACUACAGAGCAGUGUGCCUCUUGAAAAAGAGGGACGGUGAUUCGAGAGGAUCGCUGGACAGAUUAGUGCCGCAGAAAACAGACCGCCUUCUUCGGGAGGUAAGGGUGAAAAGGUGGGGUAAGAGCCCACCGCGCCGAGGGUGACCGAGGUGGCAGGGUAAACCUCUCACAGUGCAAGACAGAACAGGGGAAGGGCUGCUCGCCCGUUAAAUCCCCGGGUAAUAGUCGCAAAGAUAAAUGACUGCCGAAGCGUGGAUAGGCCACGUGGAACAGAAUCCGGCUUACAGGGG